RNAcentral lists this transfer RNA (74 nucleotides) under Staphylococcus aureus. RNAcentral describes it as "tRNA-Pro". It matches the Rfam family "tRNA". From Rfam's summary of the family: Transfer RNA (tRNA) molecules are approximately 80 nucleotides in length. Lineage: Bacteria; Bacillati; Bacillota; Bacilli; Caryophanales; Staphylococcaceae. The record is from RNAcentral.
CGGGAAGUAGCUCAGCUUGGUAGAGCACUUGGUUUGGGACCAAGGGGUCGCAGGUUCGAAUCCUCUCUUCCCGA